GAUGAACGCUGGCGGCGUGCCUAAUACAUGCAAGUCGAGCGAACAGACGAGGAGCUUGCUCCUCUGACGUUAGCGGCGGACGGGUGAGUGACACGUGGAUAACCUACCUAUAAGACUGGGAUAACUUCGGGAAACCGGAGCUAAUACCGGAUAAUAUAUUGAACCGCAUGGUUCAAUAGUGAAAGACGGUUUUGCUGUCACUUAUAGAUGGAUCCGCGCCGCAUUAGCUAGUUGGUAAGGUAACGGCUUACCAAGGCAACGAUGCGUAGCCGACCUGAGAGGGUGAUCGGCCACACUGGAACUGAGACACGGUCCAGACUCCUACGGGAGGCAGCAGUAGGGAAUCUUCCGCAAUGGGCGAAAGCCUGACGGAGCAACGCCGCGUGAGUGAUGAAGGUCUUCGGAUCGUAAAACUCUGUUAUUAGGGAAGAACAAAUGUGUAAGUAACUAUGCGCGUCUUGACGGUACCUAAUCAGAAAGCCACGGCUAACUACGUG
This 497-nucleotide ribosomal RNA is filed under the name uncultured bacterium. RNAcentral describes it as "partial 16S ribosomal RNA". It matches the Rfam family "Bacterial small subunit ribosomal RNA", at positions 28 to 507 of the family's 1533-position model. The record is from RNAcentral.